UAACGCGUGGAUAACCUGCCGUAUACCGGGGGAUAACACUUAGAAAUAGGUGCUAAUACCGCAUAAGCGCACGGCUCCGCAUGGGGCAGUGUGAAAAACUCCGGUGGUAUACGAUGGAUCCGCGUCUGAUUAGCUAGUUGGCGGGGUAACGGCCCACCAAGGCAGCGAUCAGUAGCCGGCCUGAGAGGGUGGACGGCCACAUUGGGACUGAGACACGGCCCAAACUCCUACGGGAGGCAGCAGUGGGGAAUAUUGCACAAUGGGGGAAACCCUGAUGCAGCGACGCCGCGUGAGUGAAGAAGUAUCUCGGUACGUAAAGCUCUAUCAGCAGGGAAGAAAAUGACGGUACCUGGAGAAAAAGCUCCGGCUAACUACGUGCCAGCAGCCGCGGUAAUACGUAGGGGGCAAGCGUUAUCCGGAUUUACUGGGUGUAAAGGGAGCGUAGACGGCAGCACAAGUCUGGAGUGAAAUCCCGGGGCUUAACCCCGGAACUGCUUUGGAAACUGUGCGGCUGGAGUGCAGGAGGGGUAAGCGGAAUUCCUAGUGUAGCGGUGAAAUGCGUAGAUAUUAGGAGGAACACCGGUGGCGAAGGCGGCUUACUGGACUGUAACUGACGUUGAGGCUCGAAAGCGUGGGGGAGCAAACAGGAUUAGAUACCCUGGUAGUCCACGCCGUAAACAAUGAUUACUAGGUGU
RNAcentral lists this ribosomal RNA (695 nucleotides) under uncultured bacterium. RNAcentral describes it as "bacterial SSU rRNA". It matches the Rfam family "Bacterial small subunit ribosomal RNA", at positions 111 to 823 of the family's 1533-position model. The record is from RNAcentral.